RNAcentral lists this ribosomal RNA (425 nucleotides) under Acanthamoeba lenticulata. RNAcentral's name for it is "SSU rRNA". It matches the Rfam family "Eukaryotic small subunit ribosomal RNA", at positions 738 to 1096 of the family's 1831-position model. The record is from RNAcentral. Lineage: Eukaryota; Discosea; Longamoebia; Acanthamoebidae.
UUGGCCCAGAUCGUUAUCCGUGAAAAAAUUAGAGUGUUCAAAGCGGGCAGAUAUUUUUCCUGCCACCGAAUACAUUAGCAUGGGAUAAUGGAAUAGGACCCUGACCUCCUAUUUUCAGUUGGUUUUGUUUACAGCGAGGUUAUAUCAGGGUAAUGAUUAAUAGGGAUAGUUGGGGGCAUUAAUAUUUAAUUGUCAGAGGUGAAAUUCUUGGAUUUAUGAAAGAUUAACUUCUGCGAAAGCGUUUGCCAAGGAUGUUUUCAUUAAUCAAGAACGAAAGUUAGGGGAUCGAAGACGAUCAGAUACCGUCGUAGUCUUAACCAUAAACGAUGCCGACCAGCGAUUAGGAGACGUUGAAUACAAAACACCGCCGUUAAUCCUUUCGGGGGUUAAUGGUUGGUGAAUGACUCCCUAGCAGCUUGUGAGAA